CCCUGCUUGCAGACAGGUGCCAACAACUCCAGGCUGAUUCCAAGCCCCUAGGUGCAUUUAACAAUCCCCAAACCCCUACUUGAAGGACAUUGUUUCCAUGGACUGAAGCAAUUUUUAUAACCUACUGAAAAAUAAUUCAGAUUUGGAUACCAGGGCCCAUUCUACAUUGCUGGACGGCUGCCCCUGAUGUAUAAGCCUCCUAUCACUGCAUCAUAUUUAGUUCACAAAUCCCAAACAAAGUAAGUAAUACAAAAGCACACAAACUGGUUUACUUCAAAC
Molecule: non-coding RNA, 279 nt
Organism: Pelobates cultripes (western spadefoot toad)
Lineage: Eukaryota; Metazoa; Chordata; Amphibia; Anura; Pelobatidae
Source: the annotation of a GenBank genome assembly